UAUGAUGUCUGUAGUGCUGACACAGGAGUGCACAAAAGGGAUGGCUUCCUAGUAGUUUGACUAAACCAGAAGGUACAAAAAUCUACCCUGCAAAACAAGUUCUAUGGAAAGCGGAGAGAUUAUAGUGGAAUUCUAUUUAGCCCUAUAAAUUCUUGUUGGUAGUAUGAUAAAAAGAUAUUAAGACACCAUGAAACACGUGAAACUAUUGCUAAAUGCACUAUCUCUUCUUUCCUGUUAGUACCGUGCAGGCCAGGUAUGCACUGAAUUCUUCAAAAUUGUCCAUGGAAUUUUGUGCUAGAGAAUGGUACUCAGUUUAAAUCUGAAGAAAAAGAAAAUGGUGGGGGGGAUCAACAGUACUUACUGAAAGCAAAAGAAUUAGCGUCACUAGCAUGAGAUUCCUUGUGUUCUAUAUUUGAUAUCAGUUCUUAAAAUCUCGAGUUCGUCCUGGAGUUGUGACUGCAUUUUCAAUCUGCAUGUCAGGGGUGUCAGAAGUCAUGGGCCAGCCAAGGCCAGAAAGUCCUGUCCAAGUUUGUGAAGAGUCUGGAGUAUCACUUGAACACCUCCCAUGUUCAUUCUUAAAAACUGAAAAAGGAGCAGUGUUUGAAAGCAGUCCUGACAUGCCAGAGAUUAUGUGAGUGCGAGAUGCAAAACCUGCGCAGUCUUUAGGGGUUUAAAAAAAAAAUCAAGAGGAUUUUUCCAAAAUAGGGUGUGGAAGAAGGGUUGUUUCUUCAGGAACGUGUCUAUUCCUAGGGCAUGUUCCUACAGUGUGUGUAUCACGGAAUUGAAAGCUCAUCUUUAAGCAGUUUUCCCUGUUUUCUCUGCUGUGGUACAAAGUACUGUUAAAAUAUUGUACCACCAAUGAAGUAGAUGUGCAUUGGAAACCUGGUAAAAGAGGAAAGGGGUUUUAUUUAAAAAUACAGAGUGAAACAAAAAAAUAAGAUGGAGUGUGUGUGGUGCCUGAGAUGUCUUUACAGCAGCCAAGCACCAUAGCAGCAUGCUGUGGAUCCAGCAGACUAGCAGUCUUUGUUGACAGGGGACAAAAGCUGACAGGUCCUUACUGUCUCCUGGCCUCUUCCUAGGCUGGCAACCAUUCUAGGCUUCAGAUGUGCCUUUGUGUACUCUUUUGGAGGAGACAUUGCCCUGUGUCCCUUCUUUGUCCUGACAGUGAGUUAUCAAUGUUGUCUCCAGAUGUGGGUGCCUUCUGAAGUGGCAGGGGUAUGUGACCUGCAAACCUGGGGGCUGCUAACAUAAGCCCCUUAGAGCCCAGUUCCUGCUCAGUGUUAGUUUGGUGCCUCCACACUCAGGCGCUCCUGUUCUUUCUCCAGUCAUACCAGUCUUAGACUUUCUUUUACAAGGUCUCACCUUUGCCUUGUAGCUUGGAUUUAGAUGGUUAGUUCAAAGUUGCCUAGAAAGCAAAAAGAGCAUGAAAGCAGCUGGUUUUUUUUUGCGGGACUGUAAGCUACUUUCUUUUGUAUUUGUGUUUGUAAUUUAGGUGCUUGUCAUUGUCCACUUUCCAGGUUAAAUUUGGCAGUUUUUAAGCCAUAGGGAAAACCAUAAUGGACUUGUGUAGGGCUAGUUUUGCUUUCCGUAUCUCCAUAGGUCUCCACUAUACUUCCAAUUUUUUG
Molecule: long non-coding RNA, 1625 nt
Organism: Serinus canaria (Common canary)
Lineage: Eukaryota; Metazoa; Chordata; Aves; Passeriformes; Fringillidae
Source: Ensembl